Molecule: ribosomal RNA, 468 nt
Filed under: uncultured bacterium
Lineage: Bacteria
Description: partial 16S ribosomal RNA
Rfam family: Bacterial small subunit ribosomal RNA
Source: RNAcentral
GACGAACGCUGGCGGCGUGCUUAACACAUGCAAGUCGAACGGAAAGGCCCUGCUUUUGUGGGGUGCUCGAGUGGCGAACGUGUGAGUAACACGUGAGUACUCUUCCCUUGACUUUGGGAUAACUUCAGGAAACUGUGGCUAAUACCGGAUAGGAGCUCCUGCUUCAUGGUGUGGGUUGGAAAGUUUCGUCGGUUGGGGAUGGACUCGCGGCUUAUCAGCUUGUUGGUGGGGUAGUGGCUUACCAAGGCUUUGACGGGUAGCCGGCCUGAGAGGGUGACCGGCAAAAUGGGGACUGAGAUACGGCCCAGACUCCUACGGGAGGCAGCAGUGGGGAAUAUUGCACAAUGGGCGGAAGCCUGAUGCAGCAACGCCGCGGGCGGGAUGACGGCCUUCGGGUUGUAAACCGCUUUCGCCUGUGACGAAGCGUGAGUGACGGUAAUGGGUAAAGAAGCACCGGCUAACUACGUG